GUUAAUGUAGCUUAAUAUUAAAGCAAAGCACUGAAAAUGCUUAGAUGAGUAAACAUAUGCUCCAUAAACA
This 70-nucleotide transfer RNA is filed under the name Ia io (Great evening bat). Its description in RNAcentral is "tRNA-Phe". It matches the Rfam family "tRNA". From Rfam's summary of the family: Transfer RNA (tRNA) molecules are approximately 80 nucleotides in length. The record is from RNAcentral. Lineage: Eukaryota; Metazoa; Chordata; Mammalia; Chiroptera; Vespertilionidae.